AGUGAACGCUGGCGGUAGGCCUAACACAUGCAAGUCGAACGGCAGCACAGGAGAGCUUGCUCUCUGGGUGGCGAGUGGCGGACGGGUGAGGAAUACAUCGGAAUCUACUUUUUCGUGGGGGAUAACGUAGGGAAACUUACGCUAAUACCGCAUACGACCUACGGGUGAAAGCAGGGGACCUUCGGGCCUUGCGCGAUUGAAUGAGCAGAUGUCGGAUUAGCUAGUUGGCGGGGUAAAGGCCCACCAAGGCGACGAUCCGUAGCUGGUCUGAGAGGAUGAUCAGCCACACUGGAACUGAGACACGGUCCAGACUCCUAAGGGAGGCAGCAGUGGGGAAUAUUGGACAAUGGGCGCAAGCCUGAUCCAACCAUACCGCGUGGGUGAAGAAGGCCUUCGGGUUGUAAAGCCCUUUUGUUGGGAAAGAAAUCCAGCUGGCUAAUACCCGGUUGGGAUGACGGUACCCAAAGAAUAAGCACCGGCUAACUUCGUGCCAGCCGCCGCCGUAA
Molecule: ribosomal RNA, 506 nt
Filed under: uncultured bacterium
Lineage: Bacteria
Description: partial 16S ribosomal RNA
Rfam family: Bacterial small subunit ribosomal RNA
Source: RNAcentral